Brassica oleracea var. oleracea is the source of this 767-nucleotide long non-coding RNA. RefSeq lists it as uncharacterized. The transcript is spliced from 4 exons. The record is from RefSeq and is a predicted model, not a curated record. Lineage: Eukaryota; Viridiplantae; Streptophyta; Magnoliopsida; Brassicales; Brassicaceae.
UCAAAUUUGUUUGGGCUUUUAUUAAAACCCAUAAAAACACAGAAGCUCUCUCAUCGGACUCUCCGCCCGAUACUCUCCGCCUCAGUUUUUUGUUUGUACAUCCACCGGAAGUAAAUAUCUACUAGAGUUACGGAAUCAUUGAGAAAUCCAAUCGCCGACUUUAACGCAGGCAUUAAGACCAUUACUCCCUUGCUCAGGAUCUCCUACUAUAAAAGACGACAAGGAGAGUAAAUGGCGGCGGGUGAUGUGGUGGCAAAGUGGAUUAUAGAGAGGCGGAGAUACAAAGGUGGUGAUGAUCGAUUUAUGAUGAGGUGGAGGAUUGGGUUUGAGAAGAGUAGAUGUCGAUGAAGCUGAAUUCAUUGUCGGGACUUGGGGAAAGUUACGAACCUAACAGCAAUAAAUACAACUAGAUUCGCAAUCAACGGUCGCCGUAAUCAGAUAGCCAGAUAGGAAGUCCAGUGAUUUCUGCCAGAGCUUUCAUCAUAAAAAUAGGAGAAGUAGCUUGGAGGAAAGAAAGGAAGAUGAAAUAGAGGGAGAAGAGAUUGAAACAGAGCAUCAGUAAGUGGAAGAAUCAAGAAUUUAGAACAAAGUUGUGAUUAUUAUUAGUCUUUGUAUCGGAUCUUUGUGGAAUAAGUUAGUAAUAGAGCUCUUGGUAUGCAUCAAUGGCGAGUUAGGCGAUGGUGCGAGCUCCUCUCCAAGGUUUUACCGUUUUUUUUCUGAGUAAAAACAACUCAAAAGUCAAAACAAAUAAAAAGUUUAUUUGAUCA